GACGAACGCUGGCGGCGUGCUUAACACAUGCAAGUCGAACGGAAAGGCCCAGCUUGCUGGGUGCUCGAGUGGCGAACGGGUGAGUAACACGUGGGUGAUCUGCCCCUAACUUCGGGAUAAGCUUGGGAAACUGGGUCUAAUACCGGAUAGGACAAUCGUUUAGUGUCGGUUGUGGAAAGUUUUUUCGGUUAGGGAUGAGCCCGCGGCCUAUCAGCUUGUUGGUGGGGUAAUGGCCUACCAAGGCGUCGACGGGUAGCCGGCCUGAGAGGGUGGACGGCCACAUUGGGACUGAGAUACGGCCCAGACUCCUACGGGAGGCAGCAGUGGGGAAUAUUGCACAAUGGGCGCAAGCCUGAUGCAGCGACGCCGCGUGGGGGAUGACGGCCUUCGGGUUGUAAACCUCUUUCGACAGGGACGAAGCUUUGGUGACGGUACCUGUAUAAGAAGCACCGGCUAACUACGCG
Molecule: ribosomal RNA, 464 nt
Filed under: uncultured bacterium
Lineage: Bacteria
Description: partial 16S ribosomal RNA
Rfam family: Bacterial small subunit ribosomal RNA
Source: RNAcentral